GAUGAACGCUAGCGGCAGGCUUAAUACAUGCAAGUCGAGGGGCAGCAUGACUGUAGCAAUACAGUUGAUGGCGACCGGCAAACGGGUGUGGAACACGUACGCAACCUACCCAAAACUGAUGAAUAGCCCUCCGAAAGGAGGAUUAAUACAUCGUAACUUAAUGAAGUGGCAUCACUUUAUUAAUAUAGCUCCGGCGGUUUUGGAUGGGCGUGCGCCUGAUUAGGUAGUUGGCGGGGUAACGGCCCACCAAGCCUGCGAUCAGUAACUGGUGUGAGAGCACGACCAGUCACACGGGCACUGAGACACGGGCCCGACUCCUACGGGAGGCAGCAGUAAGGAAUAUUGGUCAAUGGACGCAAGUCUGAACCAGCCAUGCCGCGUGAAGGAUGAAGGUCCUCUGGAUUGUAAACUUCUUUUAUGUGGGACGAAACCUCUUAUUCUUAAGAGACUGACGGUACCAUAGGAAUAAGCACCGGCUAACUCCGUGC
This 488-nucleotide ribosomal RNA is filed under the name uncultured bacterium. RNAcentral describes it as "bacterial SSU rRNA". It matches the Rfam family "Bacterial small subunit ribosomal RNA", at positions 28 to 508 of the family's 1533-position model. The record is from RNAcentral.